Molecule: ribosomal RNA, 253 nt
Filed under: uncultured bacterium
Lineage: Bacteria
Description: partial 16S ribosomal RNA
Rfam family: Bacterial small subunit ribosomal RNA
Source: RNAcentral
UACGUAGGGGGCAAGCGUUGUUCGGAAUUACUGGGCGUAAAGGGCGCGUAGGCGGCACGGCAAGUCAGGAGUGAAAGCCCGGGGCUCAACCCCGGAAUGUCUUUUGAAACUGCCGAGCUAGAGUGCGGAAGAGGCAACUGGAAUUCCCAGUGUAGCGGUGAAAUGCGUAGAUAUUGGGAAGAACACCUGAGGCGAAGGCGGGUUGCUGGGCCGACACUGACGCUGAGGCGCGAAAGCCAGGGAAGCGAACGGG